Molecule: unclassified non-coding RNA, 374 nt
Filed under: uncultured Bacteroidales bacterium
Lineage: Bacteria; Pseudomonadati; Bacteroidota; Bacteroidia; Bacteroidales
Description: contains 16S-23S intergenic spacer region
Source: RNAcentral
UCACAGCUUACGCUGGCAGUCUCUCCAGAGUCCUCAGCAUCACCUGUUAGUAACUGGAAAUAAGGGUUGCGCUCGUUAUGGCACUUAAGCCGACACCUCACGGCACGAGCUGACGACAACCAUGCAGCACCUCGUAGGCAGUCAUUGCUGAAAAGAAUGUUUCCACUCCUGUCUCCCUACGUUCAAACCCGGGUAAGGUUCCUCGCGUAUCAUCGAAUUAAACCACAUGUUCCUCCGCUUGUGCGGGCCCCCGUCAAUUCCUUUGAGUUUCACCGUUGCCGGCGUACUCCCCAGGUGGAUUACUUAACGCUUUCGCUGUGCCGCUUACUGUGUAUCGCAAACAGCUAGUAAUCAUCGUUUACUGCGUGGACUAC